CGAAGAAUAUACAACUAUGUACUGGGGGGCUUUGGGGAGAAAAAGGAAAAAAAUAAAAUCUUUAAAGAUAUCUCUAUAUUAUUUAGAGGGUUAUUGCCAUUCACCUUACAUAGCAAACUCAGCCCGACCUAGUUUUAUGAAAAACAUUUACUGUUUACAUUCGUAGAAUCUUUUUCUCCCAGAAAUGGUUCCCAGGACGACAGAUGUAGUUGUCUCCUCUUUAUCCUCAUCUCAUGAGACAAAGUUGACUUAAUUUCACUCCCAGUAUUCAUAAACUGCCUAGUAAAGAGUAGCAACAUGAUAGAAAAUGUCAUUCUCUUUCCAAACAUCCUUCAACUUUAAAAUAUUUGAUUUGUGGAUACUAGAAUCAAAACACUUUGUGAAUCAGUGGUGGAAGAGUUAGCCAAGCAGGCUGUUUAGUAGUCUGGGGCAAAGAUCUGUCCCCAGAGGAGACCAUGACCUCGUGAGGGAUCACAAACAGUUCCUGCCGGUAGAAGACGCUGCUUUGCUCUACCCCUGCUAGCCAAAUGGGACGCACCGGGAUAGGGCAGUGUAACAGGCGCCCGGGUUGCUGGAAACCGACCCCCGCCCCGCUUCUUGUGCUUCAACAGCACCUCUCCUCCAAGGUGUCUGAAAGAAUGGUGGCUUUGGAGCCCCUCCCGACUCAUCUCUUGCGCCCCCUCUCCCGGCCCAUCACACACACGCAGGGCGCCUCCUUCCGUCUCGUUUGACAAACCGGUUCCAAGUCGGUUACUCCUCCCAAGGAACACACUAGCAACGCAAAUCAAAAACAAGACACCCCAAGUCAAAAACAAGACACUCAAGUGAUCUGCGAGAUGAGUACAGCGGGCCGUUAGCUGGCUGCUGCGCUUCUGUGAGGCUGUGGCUACAUUGCCACAUUUAUGGAUUCAGCCUCAAUCUGCACCCCACCCCGGAUCGGAUGGGGAAGCCUGAGGUUUUUGUUUGUUAAGCAGAUUCCUACCUCCAGUUUUGAAGUCACCUUCGGAGGAUCCCCUCGCCGAUGCCGGGAGCAGCUGGCUUCGGGGUUAUUAUAAAGAGGAUACCGACCAGCUGUUCUUCAUCUCUACAGAAGACAAAAGAGCUAUAAAAAGCUGGAGAGAGGAAGAAAGAGGAAAUUCCCAGGAGAAGAUCCCCAACCACAUCCAGGGCCAUCAAAUUUCCAUAAAUACAAAGCCCAGCAGUGGCAUCGAGUGAAGCACGAGAAGAAACCUCAGGAUUUUAAUACAAGCCACAUAAAUAACUUUGAAUUGUCUUAAAACUAAACAAUGACAAUUCUAUCCAAUAAACUUUCAGGCGACAUAUGGGCAGAGUGAUGACUUAUUGGCGUUCCAGAUGUGGUUAACAGAAACAUGAUGCCCAGAAUAAAAAAGGUAUUCAGUAAAUGUUGAUUGAAUGGAUGGAUGAGUGAAUGAAUAUCUAAACACAUGCCCAGGCUGCCUCUUUCCCCUCUGAAGCUCUGUUGGAAAGAUGUCUUUGAUGCUUCAAACCCAAAGCCCCCUCGGAGGUGUUAAGCCGUUUGACACUGGUACCCAGGGAACAGUUCAUGGAACCAGGGGCUGGUUUCCAACCACUCUGUGAUCUUGUCAUGAACACAGCGAGGGGAAUUGCAGUACCCGUGGAACAUCUUUGCAGACCUUGAUUCAAAAGCUCCCAUUAUUUACAGUAUAGAUUCUAAACUAUUUGAAGUCCAACAGAAUCAAGUACUAAAUAGCCAGCAUCUUUGAGCACUUACUGGACGUAGGGUCCUCUUCUAAGCCCUUUAUGUAUUACCUCAUUGCAUCUGUAUUACAAUCUUAAUAUGUACUAUUAUUAUCAACCCAUUUUACAGGCAAGGAAACUGUGCUAGAAGAUUACCUAAUUAGCAGCGCAUGGUCACACAACUAUAAGCAGAGGAGCUGGAACUCAGAUUCCAUCUGGAACCAGCUCUUGCUCUUGACUGCUACCCAAUGCUACCUGUUCAAAUCUUCCCUCCUGCCACUCACUACCCCAGUCAGAGCGUUUACCCACAAAUAUGCAAAGAACAUUCUAAUCUCUGCAGGAUGUGUUUCCUGACCUCCCUGGCCCACUGUUUUCUCUCUCUUCUGAGUGCUCAUGUCAGUUAUGCUCUGAACACAACUGUAAGUUACCUGACACACUU
Equus caballus (horse) is the source of this 2158-nucleotide long non-coding RNA. RefSeq lists it as uncharacterized. Lineage: Eukaryota; Metazoa; Chordata; Mammalia; Perissodactyla; Equidae. The record is from RefSeq and is a predicted model, not a curated record.